UCCUGGUUUCCCAGGCAGUCCCGUUAGAGUGCCUUCCGAAGAAGUAGCAACUAACGGCAAGAGUUGCGCUCGUUAUAGGACUUAACCCAACAUCUCACGACACGAGCUGACGACAGCCAUGCAGCACCUGUGAAUCUGUCCAAACCGAAGUCUGGAAAAUUGUAUUUCUACAACGAUCAGAAACAUGUCAAGCCUAGGUAAGGUUCCUCGCGUAGUGUCGAAUUAAACCACAUGUUCCACCGCUUGUGCGGACCCCCGUCAAUUCCUUUGAGUUUUAGUCUUGCGACCGUAAUCCCCAGGCGGACCACUUAACGCGUUAGCUACGACACUAAUUUCGCAAAGCGAAACUAACGUCUAGUGAUCAUCGUUUACAGCGUGGACUAC
RNAcentral lists this unclassified non-coding RNA (384 nucleotides) under uncultured bacterium. Its description in RNAcentral is "contains 16S-23S intergenic spacer region". The record is from RNAcentral.